AACGUAGGAGGCGAGCGUUAUCCGGAUUUACUGGGCGUAAAGCGUGUGUAGGCGGUACGGUAAGUUGGAUGUGAAAGCUCCUGGCUUAACUAGGAGAGGUCGUUCAAUACUGCCGAACUUGAGGGUAUCAGAGGAGAGUGGAAUUCCCGGUGUAGUGGUGAAAUGCGUAGAUAUCGGGAGGAACACCAGUGGCGAAAGCGGCUCUCUGGGAUACAUCUGACGCUCAGACACGAAAGCUAGGGUAGCGAACGGG
This 253-nucleotide ribosomal RNA is filed under the name uncultured bacterium. Its description in RNAcentral is "partial 16S ribosomal RNA". It matches the Rfam family "Bacterial small subunit ribosomal RNA", at positions 524 to 776 of the family's 1533-position model. The record is from RNAcentral.